UACGUAGGGGGCAAGGGUUGUCCAGAAUCAUUGGGGGUAAAGAGCGUGCAGGCGGCCCAGUAAGUCGGGGGUGAAAACUCCAGGCUCAACCUGGAGACGCCACCUGAUACUGUCGGGCUAGAGUCCGGAAGAGGCGAGUGGAAUUCCCGGUGUAGCGGUGAAAUGCGCAGAUAUCGGGAGGAACACCAAUGGCGAAGGCAGCUCGCUGGGACGGUACUGACGCUGAGAAGCGAAAGCGUGGGGAGCGAACAGG
RNAcentral lists this ribosomal RNA (253 nucleotides) under uncultured bacterium. Its description in RNAcentral is "partial 16S ribosomal RNA". It matches the Rfam family "Bacterial small subunit ribosomal RNA", at positions 524 to 776 of the family's 1533-position model. The record is from RNAcentral.